UUGUUUCUAUGGCUUGUUAGCUGUGGGUUAUCCACCUUAUGUGUAAAGCAGUUUUACUUAUAGGAGCAUAUACCUUCCUAUAUCUCUGCUCAAAUAAAUGAGGAAAGAGAACAUUGCUGCUACUUCUUUGAGAAUACCUCCCAAGAGUGCUACUAGGCCAACACAAAAGAUUCCCUUCACGCAGCUGCAGUGUCAUUGGGAGAUGUGCUGCUCAGAGCCUGGUGUGUGGCAUGGCAGGACUGUGUUCUUCACUUUGCACCUUGUGUAUAAAGAAAGCCAGAGCUAAGGCUCCAGAACUCAAGAUUUGAGUUGCAUACCACAGGGCUGAGGA
Molecule: long non-coding RNA, 331 nt
Organism: Nothoprocta perdicaria
Lineage: Eukaryota; Metazoa; Chordata; Aves; Tinamiformes; Tinamidae
Exons: 3
Source: RefSeq, a predicted model, not a curated record